AUUGAACGCUGGCGGCAUGCUUUACACAUGCAAGUCGAACGGUAACAGGCCUUCGGGUGCUGACGAGUGGCGGACGGGUGAGUAAUGCAUCGGAACGUGCCCAGAGGUGGGGGAUAACGCAGCGAAAGCUGUGCUAAUACCGCAUGUGAUCUGAGGAUGAAAGCGGGGGACCAAGCAGCAAUGUUUGGCCUCGCGCGUCUGGAGCGGCCGCUGUCGGAUUAGGUAGUUGGUGGGGUAAAGGCCUACCAAGCCGACGAUCUGUAGCUGGUCUGAGAGGACGACCGGCCACACUGGAACUGAGACACGGCCCAGACUCCUACGGGAGGCAGCAGUGGGGAAUUUUGGACAAUGGGCGCAAGCCUGAUCCAGCAAUGCCGCGUGCGGGAAGAAGGCCUUCGGGUUGUAAACCGCUUUUGUACGGAACGAAAAGGUUCUGGCUAAUACCUGGGGCUGAUGACGGUACCGUAAGAAUAAGCACCGGCUAACUACGUG
This 492-nucleotide ribosomal RNA is filed under the name uncultured bacterium. RNAcentral describes it as "partial 16S ribosomal RNA". It matches the Rfam family "Bacterial small subunit ribosomal RNA", at positions 30 to 507 of the family's 1533-position model. The record is from RNAcentral.